RNAcentral lists this ribosomal RNA (496 nucleotides) under uncultured bacterium. RNAcentral's name for it is "partial 16S ribosomal RNA". It matches the Rfam family "Bacterial small subunit ribosomal RNA", at positions 28 to 507 of the family's 1533-position model. The record is from RNAcentral.
GAUGAACGCUGGCGGCGUGCCUAAUACAUGCAAGUCGAGCGAACAGACGAGGAGCUUGCUCCUCUGACGUUAGCGGCGGACGGGUGAGUAACACGUGGAUAACCUACCUAUAAGACUGGGAUAACUUCGGGAAACCGGAGCUAAUACCGGAUAAUACAUUGAACCGCAUGGUUCAAUAGUGAAAGACGGUUUUGCUGUCACUUAUAGAUGGAUCCGCGACGCAUUAGCUAGUUGGUAAGGUAACGGCUUACCAAGGCGACGAUGCGUAGCCGACCUGAGAGGGGGAUCGGCCACACUGGAACUGAGACACGGUCCAGACUCCUACGGGAGGCAGCAGUAGGGAAUCUUCCGCAAUGGGCGAAAGCCUGACGGAGCAACGCCGCGUGAGUAAUGAAGGUCUUCGGAUCGUAAAACUCUGUUAUUAGGAAGAACAAAUGUGUAAGUAACUAUGCACGUCUUGACGGUACCUAAUCAGAAAGCCACGGCUAACUACGUG